ACGUAGGGUGCAAGCGUUGUCCGGAAUUAUUGGGCGUAAAGAGCUCGUAGGCGGUUUGUCGCGUCUGCUGUGAAAACUCGGGGCUUAACUCCGGGCCUGCAGUGGGUACGGGCAGACUAGAGUGCGGUAGGGGAGACUGGAAUUCCUGGUGUAGCGGUGAAAUGCGCAGAUAUCAGGAGGAACACCGGUGGCGAAGGCGGGUCUCUGGGCCGUAACUGACGCUGAGGAGCGAAAGCGUGGGGAGCGAACAGGAUUAGAUACCCUGGUAGUCCACGCCGUAAACGUUGGGCGCUAGGUGUGGGGCUCUUUCCACGAGUUCCGUGCCGCAGCAAACGCAUUAAGCGCCCCGCCUGGGGAGUACGGCCGCAAGGCUA
This 374-nucleotide ribosomal RNA is filed under the name uncultured bacterium. RNAcentral describes it as "bacterial SSU rRNA". It matches the Rfam family "Bacterial small subunit ribosomal RNA", at positions 525 to 896 of the family's 1533-position model. The record is from RNAcentral.